GACCCGUCUUGAAACACGGACCAAGGAGUCUAACAUGUGCGCGAGUCGUCGAGUGUAUAACGAAACUCGCGAGGCGCAAUGAAAGUGAAGCGGCCCCGAUAAGGGUGCAUCCGCGAGGGGUGAUCCCGUCUCGAAUAGAGCGGGCGCAACCCCAGGGCGUCCGAAGCCGCGAGGACUCACGUUCGAGUCGGCCGGACGAACCUAGAGCGCACACGUUGGGACCCGAAAGAUGGUGACCUAUGCCUGGCCAGGACGAAGCCAGGGGAAACCCUGGUGGAGGUCCGCAGCGAUUCUGACGUGCAAAUCGAUCGUCGGAGUUGGGUAUAGGGGCGAAAGACUAAUCGAACCAUCUAGUAGCUGGUUCCCCCCGAAGUUUCCCUCAGGAUAGCUGGUGCUCGCAAAGAGAACAAACGGAGUUUCAUCCGGUAAAGCGAAUGAUUAGAGGCCUUGGGGUCGAAACGACCUCAACCUAUUCUCAAACUUUCAAUGGGUGAGAAGCCCGGCCUACUUGUGUAAAUGAGGCCGCGGCAAUUUUAUUGUGAAUCUGAGCGCCCAGUGGGCCAUUUUUGGUAAGCAGAACUGGCGCUGUGGGAUGAACCAAACGCCCGGUUAAGGCGCCUAAACGACGCACAUUUCGGAUCCCACGAAAAGGAGUUGGUUGCUAAAGACAGCAGGACGGUGGCCAUGGAGGUCGGAAUCCGCUAAGGAGUGUGU
This 714-nucleotide ribosomal RNA is filed under the name Chydoridae environmental sample. Its description in RNAcentral is "partial large subunit ribosomal RNA". It matches the Rfam family "Eukaryotic large subunit ribosomal RNA", at positions 646 to 1283 of the family's 3401-position model. The record is from RNAcentral. Lineage: Eukaryota; Metazoa; Arthropoda; Branchiopoda; Diplostraca; Chydoridae.